This is a non-coding RNA of Elaeis guineensis (African oil palm), 1320 nucleotides long. NCBI's taxonomy places the organism in Eukaryota, Viridiplantae, Streptophyta, Magnoliopsida, Arecales, Arecaceae. The record is from RefSeq and is a predicted model, not a curated record.
UCCAAUGAUUACUUAUGCUACCUAGAAGACAUUAUGUCAUUGUAAAAUAAGAGCAAUUGCAUUGGAUUUUGACAAAAAAAUUCCAAAAAUCAUCUGUGCCUGAUGCGCAUCAGGCACUCUUGCACGAAAAAUGAGCUCAAGGGUGCAUCAGUUUCUUUUUUUACACUUUCCAUAAUGCUUCUCUGUGAGACCUUCUUGCUCAAUAUUUCCCUUGAAGAUAGUUCCAUAUUACUCGUUGCUCUGUGAUUAUGCACUCUGUAUAAGUUUCUAGUCCUCGCGUUAAUAACACCUUUGGAAUUCUGUCUCUGGAGAAUUUCUUAUGUUUCCAGUAGGUUGUGAAGCUUAGAUAUUACUAACUUGGAGGAGACAGAAUAUCAGGAAAAAUGUUUUCGUAUUUGACUGUUUUGAUCAAGGAAUAACAUGCGGGGCAGAAUGGAGGAAAUGAUUCAUGUAGCCGACCCCAGCUAGUUUGGGAUCAAGGCUUAGUUGAGUUGUGUUGACUUAGGGAUAACAUUUGGGGCCUUGCUGGUUUCUUAUCCAGUUAUUUAACCUUGUAUAGAUAGCGAGCCUGAUGUUUUUUAAUUUUAAACACACACACAUGGCAUUUUGUAGCUUGAGUCAGAAUGUAAAGUAAUAACAUGUCAAUUUUUUUCGACUUUCUCCUCACCCUUCACCAACCUGGCAUCUGGACUUGAAAACUACUGUACAGCAUGUUUUCUAGGCAUGCACAAUGUGUCAUGGUUAUGUUUUCUGCCUGCGAAUUGGUUAGUGAUAUUAUUUACAUUCCUGUCCGCGAACAAUGCAGGGUUGUGAUUUCAACUUCAAAUCAAUGAGGAGCUGUAGCUUCUAAACUCAGUGUACCUGCAGACUGCAUAGGUUUAUGUUUUCUUGCACGUCCUAGUAAUCUGCCCAUUGGAAGUGACUGACCAUUUGUUUCUUAUUUCCUCUUUUUUGUGUGUGUGUGUGUGUUUGCAGAGUGGCAGAUCUACUUGCUACUCCUCGGUCUUUUCUUGGCCUCAGCAGUUCUGUUGUCUAUAAUUUACGAAAAGUCUGAUUCAUUCUUCGAAGAAAUCAACAUGCAAGGCCAUUGAUGGGAGCCUUUGUCAGGGAUCCUCAUAUUUCAGAUGAUCAAAGGCCAUGGAAUUCUGUUUGCUUUAUCGAUUUGACGAAAUUAUGCACAUGUAUUUGAGUUGUAAAGCUUGUUGUCUGAUAUAUCUGAGGCGAAUUCAUGAUAGGGUUAAUCCAGUGUAAGAAAACUUGUUUCUGGGAGCUUGCAGCUUUUUCAAAAGAAUUUCAAAAUGCAUUAUUAGUUACAUUUUA